UUAAAUGGAAUGGAUCUCAAGAUGAAAGGGUAUUGAAGUGAAAGAAAAGAAGCAUGAUAAAAAGACUGCCACACAUGGUUGUGCCAUACAAGUAGCAUGCGCGAGAUACUGCUUAAGCACGCCCAAAUGUCGGGGUAGAGCCCCCUUGCUUGCUAUGUGCACACAUUUAGCUUUGCAUGAAUAAACAAACUCUACCAAUUAUACAUGUGCGCUGAGAGAGUUGCGACUGACAUACGCAUGCAUGUGCAGUGUUAAUUUGAGAUGCCUAAAGUGGCGAGACUACCCCCUAACAUGGAAAGUGCGCGCACAAGCAUGUCACAUUGGCAGGCACCGCACAUCGAGGGAGUGCAUGCAAUGGCACCCUGUGUCCCGCGAGGG
This 378-nucleotide long non-coding RNA is filed under the name Carica papaya (papaya). RNAcentral describes it as "long non-coding RNA (CPAP_LNC009608)". The record is from RNAcentral. Lineage: Eukaryota; Viridiplantae; Streptophyta; Magnoliopsida; Brassicales; Caricaceae.